UGGGGAAUUUUGGACAAUGGGGGAAACCCUGAUCCAGCCAUCCCGCGUGUGCGAUGAAGGCCUUCGGGUUGUAAAGCACUUUUGGCAGGAAAGAAACGUCGCGGGUUAAUACCCCGCGAAACUGACGGUACCUGCAGAAUAAGCACCGGCUAACUACGUGCCAGCAGCCGCGGUAAUACGUAGGGUGCAAGCGUUAAUCGGAAUUACUGGGCGUAAAGCGUGCGCAGGCGGUUCGGAAAGAAAGAUGUGAAAUCCCAGAGCUUAACUUUGGAACUGCAUUUUUAACUACCGGGCUAGAGUGUGUCAGAGGGAGGUGGAAUUCCGCGUGUAGCAGUGAAAUGCGUAGAUAUGCGGAGGAACACCGAUGGCGAAGGCAGCCUCCUGGGAUAACACUGACGCUCAUGCACGAAAGCGUGGGGAGCAAACAGGAUUAGAUACCCUGGGUAGUCCACGCCCUAAACGAUGUCAACUAGCUGUUGGGGCCUUCGGGCCUUGGUAGCGCAGCUAACGCGUGAAGUUGACCGCCUGGGGAGUACGGUC
RNAcentral lists this ribosomal RNA (540 nucleotides) under uncultured bacterium. Its description in RNAcentral is "partial 16S ribosomal RNA". It matches the Rfam family "Bacterial small subunit ribosomal RNA", at positions 355 to 887 of the family's 1533-position model. The record is from RNAcentral.